UACGGAGGGGGCUAGCGUUGUUCGGAAUUACUGGGCGUAAAGCGCGCGUAGGCGGAUGUGCAAGUCGGGGGUGAAAUCCCGAGGCUCAACCUCGGAACUGCCUUCGAUACUGCGGGUCUCGAGUCCGGGAGAGGUGAGUGGAAUUCCUAGUGUAGAGGUGAAAUUCGUAGAUAUUAGGAAGAACACCAGUGGCGAAGGCGGCUCACUGGCCCGGUACUGACGCUGAGGCGCGAAAGCGUGGGGAGCAAACAGG
This 253-nucleotide ribosomal RNA is filed under the name uncultured bacterium. Its description in RNAcentral is "partial 16S ribosomal RNA". It matches the Rfam family "Bacterial small subunit ribosomal RNA", at positions 524 to 776 of the family's 1533-position model. The record is from RNAcentral.